This 465-nucleotide ribosomal RNA is filed under the name Vreelandella stevensii. Its description in RNAcentral is "partial 16S ribosomal RNA". It matches the Rfam family "Bacterial small subunit ribosomal RNA", at positions 338 to 795 of the family's 1533-position model. The record is from RNAcentral. Lineage: Bacteria; Pseudomonadati; Pseudomonadota; Gammaproteobacteria; Oceanospirillales; Halomonadaceae.
CCUACGGGUGGCUGCAGUGGGGAAUAUUGGACAAUGGGGGCAACCCUGAUCCAGCCAUGCCGCGUGUGUGAAGAAGGCCCUCGGGUUGUAAAGCACUUUCAGUGAGGAAGAACGCCUGGUGGUUAAUACCCAUCAGGAAAGACAUCACUCACAGAAGAAGCACCGGCUAACUCCGUGCCAGCAGCCGCGGUAAUACGGAGGGUGCGAGCGUUAAUCGGAAUUACUGGGCGUAAAGCGCGCGUAGGUGGCUUGAUAAGCCGGUUGUGAAAGCCCCGGGCUCAACCUGGGAACGGCAUCCGGAACUGUCAAGCUAGAGUGCAGGAGAGGAAGGUAGAAUUCCCGGGGUAGCGGUGAAAUGCGUAGAGAUCGGGAGGAAUACCAGUGGCGAAGGCGGCCUUCUGGACUGACACUGACACUGAGGUGCGAAAGCGUGGGUAGCAAACAGGAUUAGAUACCCUUGUAGUC